This 699-nucleotide ribosomal RNA is filed under the name Acinetobacter radioresistens. Its description in RNAcentral is "bacterial SSU rRNA". It matches the Rfam family "Bacterial small subunit ribosomal RNA", at positions 327 to 1017 of the family's 1533-position model. The record is from RNAcentral. Lineage: Bacteria; Pseudomonadati; Pseudomonadota; Gammaproteobacteria; Moraxellales; Moraxellaceae.
CGGCCCAGACUCCUACGGGAGGCAGCAGUGGGGAAUAUUGGACAAUGGGGGGAACCCUGAUCCAGCCAUGCCGCGUGUGUGAAGAAGGCCUUUUGGUUGUAAAGCACUUUAAGCGAGGAGGAGGCUACCUAGAUUAAUACUUUAGGAUAGUGGACGUUACUCGCAGAAUAAGCACCGGCUAACUCUGUGCCAGCAGCCGCGGUAAUACAGAGGGUGCGAGCGUUAAUCGGAUUUACUGGGCGUAAAGCGUGCGUAGGCGGCCAAUUAAGUCAAAUGUGAAAUCCCCGAGCUUAACUUGGGAAUUGCAUUCGAUACUGGUUGGCUAGAGUAUGGGAGAGGAUGGUAGAAUUCCAGGUGUAGCGGUGAAAUGCGUAGAGAUCUGGAGGAAUACCGAUGGCGAAGGCAGCCAUCUGGCCUAAUACUGACGCUGAGGUACGAAAGCAUGGGGAGCAAACAGGAUUAGAUACCCUGGUAGUCCAUGCCGUAAACGAUGUCUACUAGCCGUUGGGGCCCUUGAGGCUUUAGUGGCGCAGCUAACGCGAUAAGUAGACCGCCUGGGGAGUACGGUCGCAAGACUAAAACUCAAAUGAAUUGACGGGGGCCCGCACAAGCGGUGGAGCAUGUGGUUUAAUUCGAUGCAACGCGAAGAACCUUACCUGGCCUUGACAUACAGAGAACUUUCCAGAGAUGGAUUGGUGC